UGCAUUAGUUAGAUGGAAGAUGCAGGUUUUCUGAAGCAAGGCAAGAGAAUUGAAGUGCUGAAUAGAAACAAGAAGAGUUAACACAGUAGGGAAGAUCUAAAGCAGGAACGCAAUGGCCCAUGUGGUGAUGGUAAAAAACUUGGAUUGCAGUGAAGGUGAAAAGAACUGAAGCAGAAUUUCUAUACUGAUAAAGAAGUCUGAUGAGAUGCCAGGAAAUAAGUCAGAUUUUGAGAAAAUAUGAUGAGCACUGUAAGGUAAUGAAACAUACGAUGUGAAACAUUUAUUUUUUCCUUUACUGCAUUCUUUCAAGCCUUAUGUAGAACAAAACCUUCUACUGUGGAUCUUUGUAUCCCUGUAUCUUGGAACGUGCAAUUAGGAUGAAACUGAUCUAACCAGAAGGGGACAGUUCAAGGUCUCUAAGCAUAGGUGUCAUUUAAACCAAAGCUUGAAGAGUUACAAAGAACUGAAGUCAUACCCAGUAGUGAGCAGAGAAGCUCAGCAAAGCAGAGAGCAAGUGGGUUUGGAAACCACAGAGGUAGGUGCUGCAGAAGAAAGCACAUGCUCACCAGUCUGAUUCGGUGCCCAGGUAAGUCCCUGAUGGGUACCAGACAGGCUUUGAGGACACUUCCUGAAGUUUUUAAAACUAAGCAGGUUGGUUUAGCUGAUACAGACGCAACAACCAAGUACUAGCAACUACUGCCAGGUGCACAGGUAACUGAGAGUAGAGAGUAGGAUUUAGAUCUCCUUGGCAACAUAUAUUUUUUUGUGUGUCAAAAACAAUUUUGAUAUUUCACCCAAGAGAAACAUUUAUUUCCUUUCCUUU
RNAcentral lists this long non-coding RNA (823 nucleotides) under Anas platyrhynchos platyrhynchos (common mallard). RNAcentral describes it as "lncRNA (ENSAPLG00000025948.1)". The record is from RNAcentral. Lineage: Eukaryota; Metazoa; Chordata; Aves; Anseriformes; Anatidae.